UUACUGCGAGAUCGAGCUGAAGGACAGGAUGGAUUUGUUUACCCCAGACAGGGCAAGGAAGAGAUUUCAUUCAUCCAAUGUUUCUAAAAGUGCCUUAUGGUCUGCUAAUGGAAGGGACAUUUUAUAUCUGGGUUUGUUUUUUUUUCUUUUGUUUUACACUUAUUUGUGAGGGCUCCUUUCCAAACACACGUAGUUUGGUCAGUUUGAGAGGAUCAGCCUUGCUGAGAAUGUAUUUACCCAUCCCUGAGAUGGGAAAGAUCAUCCCUUCAAGACUCAUGGCUCUUGCCUUCCCUGAAAGGCAUCAGUGCCUGCUGGGGAAGGGUUUUCCACCAGUUUAAAGGACCAGCAGGACAGAAUUUUCCCCUCGCAAGGGUGGCUGAUCUAAGCUGCUUUCUCUUCCAACAUUUUAAUCAAGAAAUCACCUGCCGAUAGAUCACAGCGUGAAUUGGCUUCCCCAUGAAAUUAGGACAGAGGGAAAUGCACACAAUUAAAAGGAGGAUUCCAACCAGCCCGGAGAGAUUCAAUGAAUAAUAAUGGACCUCCAGCUGCUAAUGUGCUUAAGAACUUCCAAGUCUCAAGUGUCUAACCAGCUUAAGGUUCCUGGUGAGGGAAAGGUCUCUGUUGUGCUGUGACCUGCAGUGCCUGCUCAUCUCCCACACCUUCCCUGCAGUAGGGUCAGAAGAUGUACCACAUGGAUGACAGCCAAAGCCACAUAAAAAUGUCCACCUGAAGAUUAUCAGAGGGUUUUUUUCCUAGCACUUCCCUUGGUUUUUUUCUCUCUCCCAUUAAUGCUUCUCUCUCCCUUUCACAAUCCAUUAACUUUCCCCCUGCAGUCUCCUUUCCUGGGCCCCCCUGACCAAGACAGCCUCCUCUCCUUGACCCUCUCAGCUUUCUACCCUGCUCAUAAAUUUCCACAGAGGAUCAAGGAAAAGACUUGCAGAGGGGGAAGAGCAAAAACAAUACAGAAAGUACUGUCCCAGCCUUGAGUUCUCCAUGAAGUUGUGUCCCCCUCCUCCCCAUCCAGAGGUUAUAGGGUAACUAUCACAGAUUUAGGGAGCAGCAGCUUCAGAGGCUAGCAACGAGAUGAUCAAAGGAACAAGGAAUGUUAGCUAGGUAUGGGCUCCUCAGCCUCGGAAAGGGAUAUGACAGAGAUCUGAGAAUCACAAGAGAAGCUGUUUCCAUCUCUCCUGGAGCAAGGACCGGGGGCAUCAGAGGAAACUCACCAGUUCAGAACAAACGAAAUGAGCUAUUUUUGUACCCAGCCUGUCUCCAUGCCAUGGGACUCCUCAGCAGAGGAACUGUGCCUGCCUGGAGCUCAGAAGAGCUCAUUAAAAAAAAAAAAAUCCGGAUUUUUCUAGCCGAGAGCUCAUGUGCAGAAGCUGUUACGAACAAACACAUCGUGUGUGGGUGAGGAGGUCCCUGAUCUACAAACCAGGGAAUACUUCAACAAUAUUCCUACAA
Long non-coding RNA from Passer domesticus (house sparrow), 1461 nucleotides. RefSeq lists it as uncharacterized. The record is from RefSeq and is a predicted model, not a curated record. Lineage: Eukaryota; Metazoa; Chordata; Aves; Passeriformes; Passeridae. The transcript has 3 exons.